This is a non-coding RNA of Caenorhabditis elegans, 141 nucleotides long. The record is from Ensembl. Lineage: Eukaryota; Metazoa; Nematoda; Chromadorea; Rhabditida; Rhabditidae.
AAGCAUUCCUACAGAAUACCGAAAGGGUAUUGUGAGGACGGUCUGUUGCGCCGGGGGUCGAUGAGGCAGAGGCCCUGAGAAGCGCCCCCACCAAUUGCUCCGCCCCCAUUUUGUUGCCGAACCGUCGAAAAACGAGCUGCU